This 253-nucleotide ribosomal RNA is filed under the name uncultured bacterium. RNAcentral's name for it is "partial 16S ribosomal RNA". It matches the Rfam family "Bacterial small subunit ribosomal RNA", at positions 524 to 776 of the family's 1533-position model. The record is from RNAcentral.
GACGUAGGGCGCGAGCGUUGUCCGGAUUUAUUGGGCGUAAAGAGCUCGUAGGCGGCUUGUCGCGUCGACUGUGAAAUCCCGCGGCUCAACUGCGGGUCUGCAGCCGAUACGGGCAGGCUAGAGUUCGGUAGGGGAGACUGGAAUUCCUGGUGUAGCGGUGAAAUGCGCAGAUAUCAGGAGGAACACCGAUGGCGAAGGCAGGUCUCUGGGCCGAUACUGACGCUGAGGAGCGAAAGCGUGGGGAGCGAACAGG